CUGGCGCUGCUUACCAUGCAAGUCGCGCGUGAAAGGACUUCGGUCCGAGUAAAGCGGCGCACGGGUGAGUAACGCGUGGAUGAUCUACCCAUGAGUUGGGAAUAACGGCUGGAAACGGUCGCUAAUACCGAAUACGCUCCGAUUUCAACUUCGGGGGAAAGGUGGCCUCUGCUUGCAAGCUACUGCUCAUGGAUGAGUCCGCGUCCCAUUAGCUAGUUGGUGGGGUAACGGCCCACCAAGGCGACGAUGGGUAGCCGGUCUGAGAGGAUGACCGGCCACACUGGGACUGGAACACGGCCCAGACUCCUACGGGAGGCAGCAGUGGGGAAUAUUGCGCAAUGGGCGAAAGCCUGACGCAGCGACGCCGCGUGAGGGAUGAAGGUCCUCGGAUCGUAAACCUCUGUCAGGAGGGAAGAACCGCCACGGUGCUAAUCAGCCGUGGUCUGACGGUACCUCCAAAGGAAGCACCGGCUAACUCCGUGCCAGCAGCCGCGGUAAUACGGAGGGUGCGAGCGUUAAUCGGAAUCACUGGGCGUAAAGCGCACGUAGGCUGCUUGGUAAGUCAGGGGUGAAAGCCCGCGGCUCAACCGCGGAAUUGCCUUUGAUACUGCCGAGCUAGAGUCCGGGAGAGGGUAGUGGAAUUCCAGGUGUAGGAGUGAAAUCCGUAGAGAUCUGGAGGAACAUCAGUGGCGAAGGCGACUACCUGGACCGGUACUGACGCUGAGGUGCGAAAGCGUGGGGAGCAAACAGGAUUAGAUACCCUGUAGUCCACGCCGUAAACGAUGGAUGCUAGGUGUCGGGGCCUUGAGCUUCGGUGCCG
Molecule: ribosomal RNA, 820 nt
Filed under: uncultured Anaerovibrio sp.
Lineage: Bacteria; Bacillati; Bacillota; Negativicutes; Selenomonadales; Selenomonadaceae
Description: bacterial SSU rRNA
Rfam family: Bacterial small subunit ribosomal RNA
Source: RNAcentral